GUUUCAACCUAGAAACAGAAACGGAACCAGAAGCCCAGGAGGGUAGGGGUAAAAGAAAAAGAAAGCGAAUUAACAUUGAUUUUGAGAGUGAGGACGAAGAAAGACAGUCGAGGAAAAACCUUCCUCGACUGUCUAAACCACCUGCGGUGCCCAUCAUCAGAAGUCACCAAGCGACAUCAUCCACCACCAGCAGCCACUUUCAUAACACAUCAAACACAGUUACCAUUGCCACCCACCACCCAUCUGCACCUAUCGGGCAUAUCAUUCAUCCAUUAGUGUUGGAAAGACCGACCUACUGGGCAUGCGCCAAGUAGCAGUAUAGCAGCAACGUAGCAGUAAGAUCGGCAGUGGAUGGCGAGUGCCGGAGUGGACUAUGAAGGAAAACCUUAAUGUGUGUAGUGUGCGUCAUUGCUGAGGAUACCACACAUACUAUCACGCAUGCCUACUGAUGUUACUGUGCUGUUCGUAUGCCAAAGCCUGAUUAAAGAACACGACUGCAUGUGAUGGGCUGCUGAGUGUUCUGAUCGACACACCGGGAAGACACCCAAUAUCACCUAUACAGUCCUUUCUGCUAGCGCUAUCUAACAAUUAGCUACGCCCACCAACUCCAUCCAAAGUGAAACGGGAUCUGGAACGAGAACUCCUCUAUCAGAAUACAACUUUCAGCUUAAAGUUUUUAGGGCCAUAGAGGAGGUCAAGGCAAUAGCUCUGAACAAUGCCAAGAUGCUGCAAGCACUUCUGACCCAACAGGCUGCUAAUAAUUCUGUGGAAGAGCUGGACCCAUUGGAUGAGCUCGCGCUUCCAGCCUCCAGCUCAGAAGACUUAGAAGCUCUGAACCGGGCACUUGAGUCCGGAGCAGUCAGAAAAACAGUGGUGCACCAUCUGGCAGUCAUUGGAGGAAGGGAUCUGAGAGCUGCUGUGUAUAAUAUUUUACCAAAGAUCGUCACAAACCGCCUUGCAGAACAAUACAGCCUCUAUGGACGGAAAGGCAAAAAAAAUUUCUCUGCUCACAAGCACUUGGUGGCCGUGAUAUUUAGUACCGUAUUUUCCGGAGUAUAAGUCGCACUUUUUUUCAUAGUUUGGCUGGGGGUGCGACCUAUACUCCGGAGCGACGUA
Long non-coding RNA from Archocentrus centrarchus (flier cichlid), 1116 nucleotides. RefSeq lists it as uncharacterized. The transcript has 5 exons. NCBI's taxonomy places the organism in Eukaryota, Metazoa, Chordata, Actinopteri, Cichliformes, Cichlidae. The record is from RefSeq and is a predicted model, not a curated record.